RNAcentral lists this ribosomal RNA (699 nucleotides) under uncultured bacterium. RNAcentral describes it as "bacterial SSU rRNA". It matches the Rfam family "Bacterial small subunit ribosomal RNA", at positions 8 to 681 of the family's 1533-position model. The record is from RNAcentral.
AGAGUUUGAUCCUGGCUCAGAACGAACGCUGGCGGAGUGCUUAAGACAUGCAAGUCGUACGCGAAAGUCACCUUCGGGUGGCGAGUAGAGUGGCGCACGGGUGAGUAACGCGUGGGUAAUCUGCCCUCAGGUCCGGGACAACUUCGGGAAACUGAAACUAAUACCGGCUAAGACUUCGAAGCCUUCGGGUUUUGCGGAAAAAGAUGGCCUCUUCUUGAAAGCUAUCGCCUGUGGAUGAGCCCGCGUCCCAUUAGCUUGUUGGUGAGGUAAGAGCUCACCAAGGCUUCGAUGGGUAGCUGGUCUGAGAGGAUGAUCAGCCACACUGGAACUGAGACACGGUCCAGACUCCUACGGGAGGCAGCAGUCGGGAAUAUUGGGCAAUGGGCGCAAGCCUGACCCAGCAACUCCGCGUGAGGGAUGAAGGCCUUCGGGUCGUAAACCUCUGUCGGGAGGGAAGAAAGGGCCGCAGUCGAAUACGCUGCGGUUUUGACGGUACCUCCAAAGGAAGGUCCGGCUAACUCCGUGCCAGCAGCCGCGGUAAUACGGAGGGACCAAGCGUUGUUCGGAAUCAUUGGGCGUAAAGCGGGCGCAGGCGGUCUGUCAAGUCGGGUGUGAAAGCCCAGGGCUCAACCCUGGAACUGCACUCGAAACUGGCAGACUAGAGUCUCGGAGAGGGUGGCGGAAUUCCCGGUGUAGAGG